CACUAUCAGAUGCGGUCCGGUAAGAUGCUGGGGUUCAUUGUGAGCGGGAAAGAGGAAUCGAGGUUGAUCCUGCUUUAAGAAAAAAAAAAAAUAAUAAUAAGAGAAAUGCCUGAACCGAGAAUAAAGAAAGAGGUUCGUGGUCUAUUAGGUAGAUUGAACUACCUGUCAUGGUUCACAUCUCAUCUAACAGCCACGGGUGAACCUAUAUUC
RNAcentral lists this long non-coding RNA (210 nucleotides) under Lathyrus oleraceus (garden pea). Its description in RNAcentral is "Pisum sativum (pea) long non-coding RNA (PSAT_LNC025406)". The record is from RNAcentral. Lineage: Eukaryota; Viridiplantae; Streptophyta; Magnoliopsida; Fabales; Fabaceae.